AAGCAUAUGAAUAAGGAAGAAAUUGGGAACUUUCCUUUAUGGUCCCUGGCUCGCUUAUUCGGUCCAAUGAUUUUCUAAGCCAGAACUCCGUUCGUAAGAUCCGACGAAAAAUGGAACCAACCCGCUUUAACGUCGACUAUUAUUCAUAUAAAUUUCGUUAUCAAGAAUAUUGCCAAAGUUUGAUAGAAGUGAUAUUAUCGGCCGAGUAUACCGAUAAGAUAAACUUAAAGUCCACCAAUGAGAUAAUAAAAAAAAUAAAAGAAAAACAUGACCGAAUUGGUUGGAUCUAAACGACGAUUUCGAUCGGCAAGAAAUACUUAGCAAUAGUGGAAUACCGUAACGGUUAUCGAGAGAAAUUGGGUCAAGGAUUUCUUCUCCGCGCUGAAAUUCAAUUACCAACAGCCAAAGCCAUGAGAGAGACACCACCACCACCACCAUCGCCAUCAAAUCAUCGUGAUGCUCAUUGCUCUUUGAAAGAAAGAAAGAAA
RNAcentral lists this long non-coding RNA (488 nucleotides) under Polistes fuscatus (common paper wasp). RNAcentral's name for it is "uncharacterized LOC122517524". Lineage: Eukaryota; Metazoa; Arthropoda; Insecta; Hymenoptera; Vespidae. The record is from RNAcentral.